CCCUACGGGGCGCAGCAGGCGCGAAACCUCCGCAAUGCGAGCAAUCGCGACGGGGGGACCCCAAGUGCUACUCUUAACGGGGUAGCUUUUCUAAAGUGUAAAAAGCUUCAGGAAUAAGGGCUGGGCAAGACCGGUGCCAGCCGCCGCGGUAACACCGGCAGCUCAAGUGGUGGCCG
RNAcentral lists this ribosomal RNA (176 nucleotides) under uncultured Methanobacterium sp. Its description in RNAcentral is "partial 16S ribosomal RNA". It matches the Rfam family "Archaeal small subunit ribosomal RNA", at positions 321 to 497 of the family's 1478-position model. Lineage: Archaea; Methanobacteriati; Methanobacteriota; Methanobacteria; Methanobacteriales; Methanobacteriaceae. The record is from RNAcentral.